AGUAAAUUCUAGAAAAAAAUAUAACCUAUAAUAAAUGAGAAAAACUCUGCAAUCCUUCUCACCCCCUGCCAUUUAUCAGUGAUAUGCUAUACAUAACAUAUGCUUCUCUGGAGAGAUGGAAAGAAUAAGGAAGAAUGGCUUUAUUUGUGAGCUCCCUCACCUUGCCAUCAGUUCAUGCUUGGCUUUUCUUUUCUACCGCAGAGUAAUUUAUACUAUGGACACAACAAGUUACUGCACAGGGAAAAAGUUACACUAAGUUAAAAUGAUCAGAAAAUUGCCCUCAAGUGGAGACUCACAGCAGUGUAGCUGCCAGAUGUCAGGUUCACGGCAGUUAAACUGUAGGAACUACUAUAUUUCCCAUUUGUAAUUUGUGGUUGCAACACAUGUGGAAUUCUAUUUCUGCAUGCUACACAAGAAAUCAUUUGUAGAAAGUAUAAAGUCAUGAGUGGGGAUGAUUUUCCUACUCUAUUAGAAUUAUUUUUAUAAGGACUUGAUAAUAGGAUAUUCUAUAUGAAAAGGAAAUUUUAAAAAAAUGAUGCCGGAAAUUUUGAUUAUAUAAAAUAAUUCUUUGUGUCUUCUUGAACUGUGACCCCCUGACUCCACAGUUGGAUGUUAUUUUAGUGUUGUUAGAAAUAGCUGUUUCUCUUUCACUUUCACUUGUUACACUUUUCAGUGACAUUUCAAAUAAAACUUAAAGAAAAAUUCAUCUAUAAUAAAAUGGGAGACAUUUAAAAUGUCAUUUGGGGGCUUCCCUGGGGGCUCAGUAGUUAAGAAUCACCUGCCAAUGAGGGGGGCAUAGGUUCGAGCCCUGGUCCGGGAAGAUCCCACAUGACAUGGAGCAACUAAGCCCAUGCGCCACAACUACUGAGCCUGCGCUCUAGAGCCCGUGAGCCACAACUACUGAGCCCACAUGCCACAACUACUGAAGCCCACCGCCUAGAGCCUGUGCUCUGCAACAAGAGAAGCCACCUCAAUGAGAAGACCGCACACCGCAACGAAGAGUAGCCCCCACUUGCCGCAACUAGAGAAAGCCCACGCGCAGCAAUGAUGACCCAACUGCAGUCAAAAUAAAUAAGUAAAAUAAAUAAAUUUAUAAGAUGUCAUUUGGUGACUCUCUUCUGCUAGUAAGAGUGUAAGAGGACAAUCACCAAUAAUAUAAUUUCUACAAAUCUCACUGAGAGUAAUAAAAUUUGAUGGAAUUGAGUCUUUUUAUGGAUAAAUUCUAAAAUGUAAGGAAAACAAUUUGAUCUCAUAUCUUUGUUUUAAUUAGUUAAAAAGACAAUGAUAACUAAUUUCAAAAGGUAAUAUUUACUUGGCAUAUACAUUACAUAUAUGCAAUGAAAACACAGUUUUAGACUAUAGAAGUAUAAUCAAAAGUUCUAUGUUCUGAAAGUUAGCUAAGAUUUUUAUUGUAUAUUUUUGAAAAAGCUUAUGGUUGUUAUAAUUCAAUAUCUUAGAUAGAAUAAAUGAGAGAUCCUUAACUCUGGUUAUCUUGAUUUUGUUUCUAUGGCAGUGAAAAAAUGGCUGAAAAUAAGCUAAACUUUUGGGCUUUACAAGUAGCACAAAGAAACUCCUUCCAUUAAAAUAAUCACAAGCUCUGAAUAUAUGUCUGAGGCUGGCAUUUUACUACACUCUAAUUUAUCUGUUUGUACUGUGAGGCCACCAAUUUUACAGUGGAAAUCUCUUAACCCACAGAAUAAACCAUUUUGAAUGUAAUUAUAAGAAGGUAGCUUAUUUUUUUAUUUUGGAAGAUAAAAACAUCAAACAUCAUCUGGACUAGCAAGAAUGAUUUUCUUCUCAAGUCUCAACAACGAUAGGAAAAAAGAAAGACAAUUGAUAUGUGAGGCAAUGCUAAGCUGAAAUCUGGCAAGUGUGGUUCUCUCUGCCUUUGACAUUGCCCAGCCAGUCUCAGUGGCAACCAAACCUCACAAACGCCUUGCACUGCCAUCUGCCACCCCUGACUUCUAGGUUUUUAACUAAGAUAAAACAAACGUCUUUAAGGUUUUCAACAGAGGAGUACGCUUCUUGGAAAGAUUAGCCACCUAACCAAGGAAGUAGGAUUCUCCCAUAUAUUGAUUGGUUCAUUCAUUCAUUGACCGAUACUUAUUUACUUUCUACACGUGAGAACAUUUUUUGGUACUGAGCGCAUAAUGAAUUAUGCUCUGGGAGAAAAAAGAGAUGCCCUUAAGAGGCUAAUAUGGCCCUACUCUUAUAAGUCAUAAAAACCUGAAAUGUGGACAGAACAUGCAGAGAUGCUCUGAACUAGCAACGUUGGUGCACACAACCCAGAAACUUUGACAGACAUGUCCUGAUUAUAGCACUGGCAAGUUUGGAUUGAAAGAAAACCAAACUACUCUCAUGGUUCACAAAAUAGCAGACUUCUUGGGAGUCAGCGAAAUCUUACUAACAUUUCCUGAUUAAGAAGAAAAGGAGCUAAAUGGGAGGGCAGAAUGUAACGAUACUGGGGAAAAUAGAUUCUUGUUACUAAUCUAUUAGCAAGCUUCCUUGAUGCUUGAAUGUGAAGUGACAAGGGAAUUUGGGGUUAUUAAUAAAAAAAUCAUGUACUUAUUUAAUAUA
Orcinus orca (killer whale) is the source of this 2577-nucleotide long non-coding RNA. RefSeq lists it as uncharacterized. The transcript is spliced from 3 exons. NCBI's taxonomy places the organism in Eukaryota, Metazoa, Chordata, Mammalia, Artiodactyla, Delphinidae. The record is from RefSeq and is a predicted model, not a curated record.